UGAUAAAGUCUCUCCCACAAAAACCCUAAGGUUCUUAAGCCACUCUGGGUGCGGCCGGGCCAGAAAGACUCACAAACAGGAAGAAAGCAAUACAGAUAAGCACAAAGGCGAUUCAGCAGGAGGAUGGCGCUGGAAGAGGGUACCAGUAGCCAUUGUGAGAACUGCCUCCUUAACCUGACCAGUGCAUCAUGAAACUACAGUGUAUUCGGCAGAACAAGAUCCUGCUUUAAGGCUCAUUUCACACGGCGGCGAGGCAGGUCAGGACAGGAGCACUCUUGAUUAAACCCAUUGGGCUGUUCUGCAGCUGAACACACAGAGAUCCAGUUCUCUUUUGUUACCUGGGGGUAUGUUUCCAUGCGGGCUCAGAUCUAGUCAGAAUGGAUCACUCGUAUCCUGAAGAAAAGAAGUGAAACAAGAGACAUUAUUUUGAUGGGGUCUGCAGAAACUCAAUCUGCAGUGGACCCCUGUUGGUUCUGCAUGAAUGAGGACUGAGGGUGGGAGGGCAUGGUUUCCCUCUCACUAGGCUGUACCUAAGAGACUGUUUUACCAUCCUCUCCUCCCCCUUCUCUCUCAUCUGCUUCCCUUAGAGAUAAUAGUUAACGUUUCUGUACCGCCAUCCAGCUCAAUGUACAGUAACAACUACAGAGACACACCUGGAGGAAUGACUUCGCUGAUCAAUGUAGCACAGCCACCACUGGGGGGUGGCGGGGAGACAAGGCAGCUGUUUAACUACCUACAGUAACAGCACACACAGGGAGAGACCACCACCCGAUCCACCUGCACUUGCAUUUAGGGAGGCAGGAUCUAAAUAGUAGCCACACUGAAACUUAGCCAGGACAACAAGGUUAACACAUCCACCUCUUGCCAAAAAAGUGUCAUAGGAGUUGAAACAACUGCAAGUGGUCACAAGUCUCUGUUUUUAUGACUCAUUUGAAGCAUGGCACCCUAUGCAGAGUAGGGCACAUCAGCACCAUGCUAGGACAUAAGUACUGACUCAAUGGGGUGAGACGCUCCUACUAAAUCACCCGCAUCUGAAUUUUCCUUGCAGAUCUUCCACCAAGUAUUGGCUAGGCUCAGCCUCGGAUUACAAAAUCCAAUGAAAUCACAGGUGAGUUAGGAGCAGUCAGCCCCAGAAGGCUGAAUUUGCGCCAGGGAUUUCUCUGUGGGAUUACAACAGCCUGCUCCCUGCUGAUAUGCAGUGUCCUCAAACCACCUGGCUGACACAUUUAGCCAUGCCCAUCACCUACAAUCCUAUGUGCACUGCACGCCACCAAUGGGGUGGGAAUCUUAGCAGAAGGAAGGUGGGCACAUUGGUGAGGCAGAUGCCCUUCCCAACAGCCAGCGCUGCCGCUAUCACAGGAAACAAAACUACAUGGCCAUUCUUUAGAGGGGAAGUGACCUACGUUCCUGUCCUUGGGUGUGAACACACUAGUUCCUCAAUAGGGGAGCGGGAAAGGAGCAAUAGAAACAGACUCAGGAGUGAAAACUGCUGGGGGCAGAGAUUGCUUUUUUCAGCCAAGAUGCCCCGCAGUGCACUUGCUGUGCUGGGAAGAUCAAGGCUGGAGGUUGUGCUGUUGGAUCACAACUACGUUUCGCUCCCACCCACAAACAGGAAGCAGCAGGCAGAUCCUUCCCCAAGGCUGUGGAAAACAUCGCCAGUGAAACAGCAACAAAAGGAAGGAGUCAGAAGAGGAGAGAUACAGGGAAGAGAGAGUGAUUGAAGAUAUGUUUCUCCGAGCAGCAGUUGGUGCUUUGCUGUAGGAAUCCUGAGUCACUCUUAGCCUCCUGCAGAGAAUAUUUCACCCAUGUUUGUCAUCGCCUUCCUGGAAGCACUCACCCUACACCCAAGUUACAAUGUUGCUGCAGGACAGAUUGCCCAGCCAGGAAAUUAUAUGAUUUGUAAUAGCCCCAUUCAGCACAAAGGGACUCAGAGUACUGUACAAAUAUAUUCUAGCGGCCACUGAUCACACUUAUAAUAGUUAAGGUUGCAAAGUAGUUUGCAUUAUAUGCCCCCCACACACAUACGUCUUGUUUUCAGAGGAUCAUAACUUUCCAAAACAUUCAUUUUUAUGGGCUGAAAUUUGCUAUGCUUGGUUUCUCCUCACAGGUGAAUAUUGCUGGAAAGUUUGGGCCAAAACUAUUCAGUCAUUUCUGAGUUAUGGCAGGGUGAAAAAAAGCCAUUUUUGCACAACUAUAUAAAAAAAAAUAUGUUGGA
Molecule: non-coding RNA, 2215 nt
Organism: Chelonoidis abingdonii (Abingdon island giant tortoise)
Lineage: Eukaryota; Metazoa; Chordata; Testudines; Testudinidae
Source: RefSeq, a predicted model, not a curated record